CUACGGGCUGCUGCAGGCGCGAAACCUUUACAAUGCACGAAAGUGUGAUAAGGGGAUUCCAAGUGCUUAUACAUAGUAUAGGCUUUUGCCAAGAGUAAAUAUCUUGGCGAAUAAGUGGUGGGCAAGACUGGUGCCAGCCGCCGCGGUAACACCAGCGCCACAAGUGGGAUUCAGAUUUAUUGGGCCUAAAGCGUCCGUAGCCUGUUAUAUAAAUCCUUUGUGAAAUUGUUGGGCUCAACCUAACAACGUGCAUAGGACACUGUAUGACUAGGGACCGGGAGGAGUGUGAGGUAUUCCUAGGGGAGCGGUAAAAUGUUAUAAUCCUUGGAGGACCACCUGUGGCGAAGGCGUCACACUAGAACGGAUCCGACGGUGAGGGACGAAAGCCAGGGGAGCGAUCCGGAUUAGAUACCCUAGUAGUC
This 422-nucleotide ribosomal RNA is filed under the name uncultured archaeon. Its description in RNAcentral is "partial 16S ribosomal RNA". It matches the Rfam family "Archaeal small subunit ribosomal RNA", at positions 323 to 746 of the family's 1478-position model. The record is from RNAcentral.